This 199-nucleotide long non-coding RNA is filed under the name Brassica napus (rape). RNAcentral's name for it is "long non-coding RNA (BNAP_LNC025900)". The record is from RNAcentral. Lineage: Eukaryota; Viridiplantae; Streptophyta; Magnoliopsida; Brassicales; Brassicaceae.
UUAGGUCAAGGCGGUUGGUGGUUAGAAAACGACUUUUCUUUAUGUGUAGAUCUAGGGUUUCUAUUCAAUUGGUUUAAGCUAGUUUUUACUAGAUUGAAUCCGGUUUUUCACUCGAAUUUUAGUUUGUAAACGAAGGAAAUUAAUUGGUUUAACGGGGAUAACUAUUAUAUUAACAGAAAAUGUGAAAGUCAAUCCAGAG